CGAACGGGUGAGUAACACGUGGGCAAUCUGCCCUUCACUCUGGGACAAGCCCUGGAAACGGGGUCUAAUACCGGAUACGACGCGCUCGGGCAUCCGAUGUGCGUGGAAAGCUCCGGCGGUGAAGGAUGAGCCCGCGGCCUAUCAGCUUGUUGGUGAGGUAACGGCUCACCAAGGCGACGACGGGUAGCCGGCCUGAGAGGGCGACCGGCCACACUGGGACUGAGACACGGCCCAGACUCCUACGGGAGGCAGCAGUGGGGAAUAUUGCACAAUGGGCGAAAGCCUGAUGCAGCGACGCCGCGUGAGGGAUGACGGCCUUCGGGUUGUAAACCUCUUUCAGCAGGGAAGAAGCGAAAGUGACGGUACCUGCAGAAGAAGCGCCGGCUAACUACGUGCCAGCAGCCGCGGUAAUACGUAGGGCGCGAGCGUUGUCCGGAAUUAUUGGGCGUAAAGAGCUCGUAGGCGGUCUGUCGCGUCGGAUGUGAAAGCCCGGGGCUUAACCCCGGGUCUGCAUUCGAUACGGGCAGACUAGAGUGUGGUAGGGGAGAUCGGAAUUCCUGGUGUAGCGGUGAAAUGCGCAGAUAUCAGGAGGAACACCGGUGGCGAAGGCGGAUCUCUGGGCCAUUACUGACGCUGAGGAGCGAAAGCGUGGGGAGCGAACAGGAUUAGAUACCCUGGU
This 679-nucleotide ribosomal RNA is filed under the name Streptomyces sp. I12A-01963. RNAcentral's name for it is "bacterial SSU rRNA". It matches the Rfam family "Bacterial small subunit ribosomal RNA", at positions 99 to 791 of the family's 1533-position model. The record is from RNAcentral. Lineage: Bacteria; Bacillati; Actinomycetota; Actinomycetes; Kitasatosporales; Streptomycetaceae.